AAUUGUUCGCCAAAUAACUACGAGUGUAAACUUAAAAUUUAAAAGACUUGACGGUACUUCACAACAAUCUAGAGGAGCCUGUCUAAUAACCGAUACCCCACGAUUAACCCCACCCACCCUAGCCUUAACAGUCUAUAUACCGCCGUCGCCAGCUUACCUUGUGAAAGAAAUAAAGUGAGCAAAAUAGAUUUCCCCCCCCCUAACACGACAGGUCAAGGUGUAACCUAUGAGUGGGUAAAAGAUGGGCUACAUUUUCUAACACAGAAAACACGAACAAACUAUGAAACUAGAAACUGAAGGCGGAUUUAGUAGUAAGCUAAGAAUAGAAUACUCAGCUGAAAUCAGCGCAAUGAAGUGCGUACACACCGCCCGUCAUCCCUG
This 381-nucleotide ribosomal RNA is filed under the name Dibernardia persimilis. RNAcentral's name for it is "partial small subunit ribosomal RNA". Lineage: Eukaryota; Metazoa; Chordata; Lepidosauria; Squamata; Colubridae. The record is from RNAcentral.